Molecule: ribosomal RNA, 460 nt
Filed under: uncultured bacterium
Lineage: Bacteria
Description: partial 16S ribosomal RNA
Rfam family: Bacterial small subunit ribosomal RNA
Source: RNAcentral
CCUACGGGCGGCAGCAGUGAGGAAUAUUGGUCAAUGGACGAGAGUCUGAACCAGCCAAGUAGCGUGAAGGAUGACUGCCCUAUGGGUUGUAAACUUCUUUUAUCUGGGAAUAAAAUGUUCCACGUGUGGGAUUUUGUAUGUACCAUAUGAAUAAGGAUCGGCUAACUCCGUGCCAGCAGCCGCGGUAAUACGGAGGAUCCGAGCGUUAUCCGGAUUUAUUGGGUUUAAAGGGAGCGUAGGUGGAUUGUUAAGUCAGUUGUGAAAGUUUGCGGCUCAACCGUAAAAGUGCAGUUGAAACUGGCAGUCUUGAGUACAGUAGAGGUGGGCGGAAUUCGUGGUGUAGCGGUGAAAUGCUUAGAUAUCACGAAGAACUCCGAUUGCGAAGGCAGUUCACUGGACUGCAACUGACACUGAGGCUCGAAAGUGUGGGUAUCAAACAGGAUUAGAUACCCGAGUAGUC